GCCUGCAGCCAUAACGACUGCUUCUGUGAUCCUUUCAGUUCCCACAAACUGAGCAGGGUAAGGCCAGGUCAGUACUUGCAUGGGAGAACUCCAAGGAGAAAAGCUGCAGGAA
This 112-nucleotide ribosomal RNA is filed under the name Gopherus agassizii (Agassiz's desert tortoise). The record is from RNAcentral. Lineage: Eukaryota; Metazoa; Chordata; Testudines; Testudinidae.